CUCUUCUGGGAUUCUCAACAUAUCAGAUGAUGGCAACCUUGUUGUUUUGAAUGGCAAAACUGAGAUUCUCUGGUCAUCGAAUGUUACCAAUACAGCUCCUAAUACAACAACUGCCCAGCUUUUAGACUCAGGAAACCUCAUCCUCAGUAAUGGUGACGAUGGAGGAAGCAGCUUAUGGGAGAGUUUUGAAGAUCUUUCUAAUGCCUUCAUUGAAACUAUGAAGAUCAGCACUGAUGUAAAAAAGGGUCGUCAAGUGGAGCUCAAAUCAUGGAAAAGCCCUAGUGAUCCAUCUGAUGGUAACUUUUCUUUUGGCAUUGAACCUUUCAACAUCCCAGAGGGCAUCAUUCGGAAGAAUAACCAGCUCUAUUUUCGGACCGGUCCGUGGAAUGGGAAUAUGUUUCUUGGCUCAAUACUUAUGACCGCCGUUUAUACUGAUGGGUUUUAUGUUGUUGCAGAUAAUCAACAACAAACGUUUUAUAUGGCUUUUGAAUAUUCUAAUGACUCUAUGUUGAUAUACUGUGAAUUAGAUUCUCAAGGAAAAUUCAUUGAACGGAGAUGGGAUGCGGGGAAAGGGAACUGGAUAAACAGGUACUCUAGUUUUCAAACAGAUUGUGAUAUUUAUGGAUACUGUGGGGCAUUUGGAAUAUGCGAUUCCUCGAAACGUUGCAGUUGCAUAAAGGGGUUUAAGCCUAGGAAUAUAGAGGAAUGGAGUAGAGGUAAUGGGAGUAGUGGGUGUUUUAGGACUACCCCUUUGCAGUGCCAAAGAGAUAACACCAAUGGCAGUGGAGGAGCAGGCCAAGGUGAUGAUGGGUUUUUGAAGAUGAUGGUGAAGAAAGUGCCGGCAUUCCCGGUCCGGUCAUCGAUAAUUAACGGCGACUGCAAAGAUCAGUGCUUAGAAAACUGCUCGUGCGUGGCUUAUGCGUAUGAUGCUGGCAUUGGUUGCAUGUUUUGGAGUGGAGAUUUGAUUGAUGUGCAGAAAUUCUCCACUAGCGGAGUCGAUCUUUACGAUCUUUACAUUCGUUUACCAUCUUCUGAACUUGGUAAACUUGUCUUAAUGUUGACCAUAAAUUGCGUCAAUUAAUCUGCUUUUUUGGGUGUUGAUGUUUUAUUAACCAUGUUUCUGGAUUUGCAGAUAAAGGGAAAAAUACAAAGGUCAUUGUUAUUACAACAGUAAUUGCGGGCAUAGUCGUAAUUACAAUUUCUGCACUCUUCUUAUGGUGUAGGAUGGCUAAACAAAGAGGUAAAUCUCAUAAAAUUGGAACGAUGUAUUUUCUUUUAUUAGGUUUAAACAUAGAAGUCCAAGCUUGGCUUCAACUGAAAAUAAAUUAUUCAGCUUGGCUCCAUUAAGUAAUAAUUAAUAUUAUAAAUACAAUGUAUCAGACUUACUAGUUGCUUAAAUCAAGCUCACUCCAUAGUUGGAUCAACUCUGAUUUCUCUCUCAGAAAGGAAUGAAAAACGCAAACAUAUCAAACACAAAAUUUAUAGAGAAAAUUCAAUCGGAGUUAAACUCCAGCAGCUGCCACUAUUCAAUUUCAAACAACUUGCCAUUGCAACGAAUAAUUUCAAUCACGCAAAAAAGCUAGGCCAAGGUGGUUUCGGUUUGGUUUACAAGGUAAAUGAUUAAUGGCCAUUUCCAACAACUCCACGUUCGAUGAAAUGACAUUUUCUUUUCUACCUAGUUUUGUGAUCUUAAUUUUGUGUGCAGGGAAUAUUAGAUGAUGGAAAGGAAAUAGCAGUGAAGAGAUUAUCGAAAGCUUCGGGGCAAGGCCUGGAAGAAUUUGUGAAUGAAGUGGUUGUGAUUUCUAAGCUCCAACAUCGAAAUCUAGUUAGAUUAUUUGGGUGUUGUGUUGACAGAGAGGAAAAGAUGCUCGUCUACGAGUACAUGCCCAACAAAAGUUUGGACUCUUUUAUCUUUGGUUAGUAACUUAUGCUAAUCUCUUUCUACUAUUUUUGGGAAUGUCCUUAUUAAAUCUAGAGUCAAGUUAGGUUGAACUCCUUAAACAGGGACAAAGCUCUCUUAAAAUUCCUUUUCCCGUCUACAAACUCGAACUCAAAUUAUUUAAGAGAUAUUAAACUUUUUAUCACUCAAAAAUUAAUGGUAUCAUUUUCUUUCUUUAUACGAUUUAAACUUAUCUAAGACUAUUUCAUCUGCUGGAUCCUACAAGUUUGACUUGUCUUACUUGGUAGGUUGAGUCCAUAUGGGCUACAUCUAGGAUAUAAUUUUACCUUUUAACUAACUCAUUUAAACUAAUUAGGGCUCAAAAUACUUUUUUUGUUUUAAAUUUAAUUAAUAAAUACAAAAAAUUAAUUUAAAGUCUUUUUAAAGCAAGAAAUUGGAUGUGAAGUUGAUCUUCUGCGAGCUUAUUUGAGAGGAUACAAAACAUAAUAGAUCAUGACUUAGUCCAAGACCAUGCAUAAUGUAAUUAUUAAUAUAUAUAUUUCAGUUGAUGGAGAUAACUUAAAUUUUGUUUACAAUAUCAUUAUGAAUACGAUACGGUAGAAAUUGCAACGAUGAUUAGAUCCUUCAUUAUAGGAAUUAAUUGUUAACCUUAAAGGUGUUUUUGUAUAAUUUUUGUUAUAGAUCCGGUUAAACAAAAAAUCUUGGAUUGGAAAAAACGCUUUAACAUUAUUGAAGGGAUCAGUCGAGGAUUGCUUUAUCUUCAUAGAGAUUCAAGACUGAGGAUUAUACAUAGAGAUCUAAAAACUAGUAAUGUUUUACUCGACCGAGAGUUAAAUCCAAAAAUUUCAGAUUUUGGGAUGGCUAAGAUUUUUGGAGGCAAUGAAAAUCAAGCCAACACUAAAAGGGUUGUUGGAACUUAGUAAGUUGGACUUUUUCCGUGGCAUUUCUUUUUAUACUUUUUUUUUUGAUAAAAUAUGGUAUAGGUAUGUCUGGGUUCGAUGCUUAAAGAAAAUACAUGUUCAGACUUGAAUCGAUUUCAACUUUGUUUGGUUUGUGGACUCCUUUUAUGUGUUUAUAAGUAAAAUAUUAAAAUUAUAUUUUUAUAUUUUUAUAGUUAACUUUAAAUUAUUUAUUCUUAAUUUGGGUUGGGUUGUGGACAAGUUAAAAUUAAGGUUUAUAAUUGGUUUUUUAUGUUUAAUUACAGUGGUUAUAUGUCUCCCGAAUAUGCAAUGAGAGGGCAGUUUUCAGAGAAAUCAGAUGUGUUCAGCUAUGGAGUUCUACUACUGGAGAUUAUUAGCGGAAGAAGAAACAUAAGCUUUCACAAUAGGGAUGAUCUUGGCCUCUUGGGAUAUGUAAGUAUAUAAGAUAGUUAGAGAGGUUGGUGGAUGGAAUUAGGUGUAAGAUGUUGCAUUUGUGAGCUAUUCGGGUUUGGUUCAAGAAAACUUGAAUUUGGCUUAGUAAUUAUUGAGUCGACCAAUCAUUUGAGAAAAUUUGAGAAUCUUAAUGCUUGAAUCGAGUAGGUUACAAGGCUUUAUAACCUUAAUUAAUAUUGAAAAUUUUCAAUUCAAACUUGAACUUGAUUACAAAUAAUCGAGUUUGAAGUUAAGCAUAGGAAUGAAGCCCAUUGCAGAGUACUUAGGUAAAACAAGCCUAAUCAAGAAAGUUUGAAUAGCUCGAUCUUUAUGUCGGAUAGAGCUAAUCAAACUCUAUUAAAGCUUUGAGAUUAAAAUUUUGAGUCAAGCUAGGCUAGAUAAUUUUAGUAUUAAUUUAGACAAAGUUGGUUUUUUUGUUUUCAGGCAUGGAAAUUAUGGAAUGAAGGCAAUAUUUGGAACUUAGUAGACAAGGCGAUUUCAGAGUCCGAAUCAGAUUCAAAGAAUGAGAAAGAGAUAUGGAGAUGCAUAAAUGUUGGUUUGCUAUGCGUUCAAGAAUAUGCUAAUGAUAGGCCAACUAUGUCUACUGUUGUUUCAAUGCUUAAUAGUGAGAUUUCAGAUCUUAACACUCCAAAACAACCUGCUUUCACUCAAGCACCACUAAUAAUCCAAGUUGUUAAAAAUACGGAUUCAAUUAAUGAUGUAACUCUUACAAAGGUUAAUGGCCGAUGAAGAUGCAAAUUAACAAUACUGAAGUUUAUUUUUAUAUUUUGUUUUGAUUUAUUUUUGUCUUUUUUAUUUGAAUUUUUUUUUUCAUUUUAUUUGUACCAUUUUAGAGUGAAUUUGGCAUGUGACAACAUUAAGCCAAUCUGUCUCCCACCGAAGCUAUGGAAAAGUGAACCGUUCGAUCCAUCACCAAAAAAAAAUCACUCAUUACCUAAAUUUCAAAAAGAGUAUCCAAUUUUAGAGGAAAAGAGAUCCUACCCUUCAUUCCUUUUAUUUUGAGUAGUAUAGAACCAAAAUCAACCAUUUUCAUAAACCUCAAUGCCUAAAUUUGAGAUGCUAAAUAUUUAUUUUGAUUAUUGGAUUUGGUGCUUCAUUUGCUCAUUUUAUGAGAGGGGCAUGAAUUUCAAAGGGCAUGCAAAACGAAAAGGAAGAAGAAAGAAAGAAAGAAAAUUACUGAAAAAAAAAAAAGGAGAAAAACAACUUCCAUCACGCAAAAAAGCUAAGGCAAGAUGGUUUCGGUCCGGUUUUUAGAGUAAUAACUAAUAAACAAUGGUGAUUUCCAGCAAAUACAUUAUCGAUGAAAUGACAUUUUUCUUUCUACCAAGUCUUAUGAACCGAGUUUGAUUAUAAAUAAUCGAAUUUGAAGUUAAGCAUAGAAUGAAGCUCAUUAUAGACUUAGGUAAAACAAACCAAAUCAAGAAAGUUCGAACAGUUCAAUCCUUAUUUCGAAUAAAGCUAAUGAAACUUUAUUAAAGCUUUGAGAUUAAAAUUUUGAGUCAAGCUAGGCUAGAUAAUUUCAGCAUAAAUUUAGACAGUUGUUUUCUGUUUACAAGCGUGGAAACUAUGGAAUGAAGGCAAUAUUUGGGGUUUAGUAGACAUGAUUAUUUCAGAGUCCGAAUCAGAUUCAAAGAAUGAUCAGAGAUAUGGAGAUGCAUAUAUGUUGGAUUGCUAUGCGUUCAAGAAUAUACUAAAGAUAGACCAACCAUGUCUAUUGUUGUUUCAAUGCUUAAUAGUGAGAUUUCAGAUCUUAAUACUUCAAAACAACCUAUUUUCACUCAAGCACCACUAAUGAGCCAUGAUGUUAAAGAUAGGACUUCACUUAAUGACGUAACUCUUACAAAACUUGAUGGGUGAUAAAGAUGCAAAUUAAUUAUUUGGAGUGUUUACAAUACUGAUAAAGAUUUGAGAUGCUUUCUUUGUUGUAAAUAUUGGAGCUGGUGCUUCAUUUACUCAUUUUAUUAGAGGGGCAUCAAUUUCAGAGGGCAUGCAAAAGAAAAAGAAGAAGAAAGAAAGAAAAUUACAAAAAAGAAAAGGAAAGAUUAUGACACCAUGCAUUUGGGGCUUUCAAAUCUUAACAAACAUAAGAGUAAUAAUUCUAACUACGUAUCUCCUCUGAGGGUAAUUUUUCUACGACAAUUAUCAUUUGUUGUCUCAUUUUGAGCUUCAUCGAAUUUUCUUGAAAAUGAACUCAGUCAUGACUUGUUUUAUGAACAUAGUAAUAACAAUGUGACUUUAUUCUAUAUUUAUUUCAAUUGGACAUAAAUCUUUUAAAAAAUAUUAUUAUUUUUUUCACAACUUUCACCUCAGUAAUUUUUUUACAUCACCUGUCACUUUAGACUGGGAAAAAAUGAAUGAUUUAGAAACAUUUAGAGUAACUAAUUAAUGGUCAAUAACAAAUUUCGUAGUUCAAAUAAUAGAUGCAAUUUUUCAAAUCAACAUUUGAAGUUUCACCUGUUUAUUUUAUUUGUUUUUCUGUCGACUUUUCCUUGCAUGGGAUUGGAGUACCCAGAAAAUCAACUAGAAUAUAUCACCCUCUUCAUACCAAUUUUUGCUUUAUUAUUAUUAUUACUCUGUUUCAUCAUGAGUUAAUCAUAAAAUAUCGUAUGAAAAGAUUAAUAUCAACAAUAAAUUAAAAAUUGGUAUGAACAAUAAUAAUAAAUUAAAGAUUAAUAUCAACAAUAUUUUAUGAUUAACUCAUGAUGACACAGACUAAUAAUAAUAAUAAAGCAAAAACUGGUAUGAACUAGGUGACACGUGCUAGUUGAUUUUGUUGGUACUCCAAUCCCACACAAGGAAAAGUCGACAGAAAAACAAAGAAAAUAAAGAGGUGACUACCUCUUCAAGAAACUUCAAAUCAUGAAGUAAACAUUGGCAGCUGCCAUGAAACAUCAUUACAUCCUACCAUCUUUUAAAAGAAAACACUGGAAAAGAAAAUUGAGUUGAGUUCAUUUAGAGUAAAUCCUUGAAGAUCCCAACUAAUUCCAAGUUCUGGGAAGAGAUUAUGGGAAAAACUAUUAGCUGCUCUGUUUUACUAGCUUUAAUAUCUUGCUUUUACUUACUAUUUGCCACUGCUUUAGACAUAAUAACACCAUCAAAAUCCAUCAAAGACCCUGAUGUUAUAAUCUCCCAGAAUGGUGUUUUCCGAUUGGGAUUCUUCAGCUUGGCUAACUCGACCAAUCGUUAUGUAGGGAUUCUCUACAAUCAAAUCCCCGUACAAACUGUUGUAUGGGUAGCAAAUAGAAACAGGCCCCUCAAAGACUCUUCUGGGAUUCUCAACAUAUCAGAUGAUGGCAACCUUGUUGUUUCCAAUGGAAAAGCUGAGGUUCUUUGGUCAUCACAUGUUAACAAUACAGCUCCUAAUGCAACAACUGCCCAGCUUUUAGACUCUGGAAACCUUGUCCUUAGUAAUGGUGAGGAUGGAGCAAGCAGCUUAUGGGAGAGUUUCGAAGAUCCUUCUAAUGCCUUCAUUGAAACUAUGAAGAUCAGCACUGAUGUUAAAACGGGUCGUAAAGUGGAGCUGAAAUCAUGGAAAAGCAUUGAUGAUCCAUCUGAUGGUAACUUUUCUUUUGGUAUUGAACCUUUCAAUAUCCGAGAGCUUGUCAUUAGGAACAAUAACCAGCUCUAUUUUCGGAGUGGUCCAUGGAAUGGGAAUAUCUUUAUUGGCUUAUUAUAUAUGUACACCGAUAAUCUUGAUGGGUUUGAGGUUUUUACAGAUAAGUCACCGUACUAUAUGACUUAUGAAUCUUCUAAUGAGUCUAUGUUGAUAUACUAUGAAU
This 7052-nucleotide long non-coding RNA is filed under the name Gossypium barbadense (sea-island cotton). Its description in RNAcentral is "long non-coding RNA (GBAR_LNC013145)". The record is from RNAcentral. Lineage: Eukaryota; Viridiplantae; Streptophyta; Magnoliopsida; Malvales; Malvaceae.